Molecule: ribosomal RNA, 230 nt
Filed under: uncultured bacterium
Lineage: Bacteria
Description: partial 16S ribosomal RNA
Rfam family: Bacterial small subunit ribosomal RNA
Source: RNAcentral
UGAGCAAUCUGCCCUUCACAUCGGAAUAACCAUUGGAAACGAUGGCUAAUACCGAAUAUGACUUCGGAUCGCAUGAUCUGAAGUGGAAAGCUCCGGCGGUGAAGGAUGAGCUCGCGGCCUAUUAGCUUGUUGGUGAGGUAAUAGCUCACCAAGGCGAUGGACGGGUAGCCGGCCUGGAGGAGGGUCGACCGGCCACACGUGGGACUGACGACACCGGCCCAGACCUCCGG